CCUACGGGAGGCUGCAGUGGGGAAUAUUGCACAAUGGGCGCAAGCCUGAUGCAGCCAUGCCGCGUGUGUGAAGAAGGCCUUCGGGUUGUAAAGCACUUUCAGCGGGGAGGAAGGCGUUAAGGUUAAUAACCUUGUCGAUUGACGUUACCCGCAGAAGAAGCACCGGCUAACUCCGUGCCAGCAGCCGCGGUAAUACGGAGGGUGCAAGCGUUAAUCGGAAUUACUGGGCGUAAAGCGCACGCAGGCGGUCUGUCAAGUCGGAUGUGAAAUCCCCGGGCUCAACCUGGGAACUGCAUUCGAAACUGGCAGGCUAGAGUCUUGUAGAGGGGGGUAGAAUUCCAGGUGUAGCGGUGAAAUGCGUAGAGAUCUGGAGGAAUACCGGUGGCGAAGGCGGCCCCCUGGACAAAGACUGACGCUCAGGUGCGAAAGCGUGGGGAGCAAACAGGAUUAGAGACCGGUAGUC
RNAcentral lists this ribosomal RNA (463 nucleotides) under uncultured Klebsiella sp. Its description in RNAcentral is "bacterial SSU rRNA". It matches the Rfam family "Bacterial small subunit ribosomal RNA", at positions 338 to 795 of the family's 1533-position model. The record is from RNAcentral. Lineage: Bacteria; Pseudomonadati; Pseudomonadota; Gammaproteobacteria; Enterobacterales; Enterobacteriaceae.